GAUUGAGAGAUGGCGGAUGGAUGGAUGACUUCCUCUAAACGUGUGAAGAGAAGACGAGUGAUCGUGAGGAAGAGAGCAGCAUGGACACAAAGAGGGACUUCCGCUGUUCCACCUGUUGGUGGAGGUGGAGGAAGAGAUGGAGGGAUCAGCGGAGGGCAGGGAGUGGAGCUUACAGCCUUCUGACAGACACAGAGGAAUGCUAAAAAGGACAAGAGACAAACUCCAGGAGGCGGGGUCAGGAAGCAGGACGACUCACUUUAGUGUUCCUGUAGAUCAGUGUGAAGCUUCCACAACACACAUCUGCACACUGCUACUUUAAUAGUGUUGUACUGUGUAAGGAAAUCAGACCAAAUUACAAACAUGCAACUGUUUAAGAUAUUUCUCAGUGUACUCGUUCUCUUCAAAAACAUCUCCUCACUUCAUCUUGUCCUGAAGAACCCACUGCUGUCAUUCAAAUCUACAGGACAGGUGAGAUGUGGAGAUGAGGAGGUGAGAUGUGGAGAUGAGGAGGUGAGAUGAGGAGAUGAGGAGGUGAGA
Tachysurus fulvidraco (yellow catfish) is the source of this 537-nucleotide long non-coding RNA. RefSeq lists it as uncharacterized. The record is from RefSeq and is a predicted model, not a curated record. NCBI's taxonomy places the organism in Eukaryota, Metazoa, Chordata, Actinopteri, Siluriformes, Bagridae. The transcript is spliced from 3 exons.